RNAcentral lists this ribosomal RNA (1615 nucleotides) under uncultured marine eukaryote. RNAcentral describes it as "bacterial SSU rRNA". It matches the Rfam family "Bacterial small subunit ribosomal RNA". The record is from RNAcentral.
GAGUUUGAUCAUGGCUCACGAUGAACGCUGGCGGUGCGCCUGACACGUGCAAGUCGGACGGAAGCGAAGGGCUUCAGUGGCGAACGGGUGCGUAACACGCGAGAACUUACCCUGAGGUGGGAGAUAACCUUCGGAAACGAAGGCUAAUACCCCAUAGGUCAACGCAGAGAAACUGCAACCCCGACGAAAGCAGAAGAUCGUUAAGAUCUUGGUUGCGCCUCGGGAAAGGCUCGUGGCUGAUUAGCCAGCUGGUGGGGUAAUGGCCUACCAGGGCGACGAUCAGUAGCUGGCUUGAGAGAGGGGUCAGCCACACUGGGACUGAGAUACCGCCCAUACUCCUACGGGAGGCAGCAGUGGGGAAUAUUCCGCAAUGGGCGCGAAGCUUGACGGAGCGACACCGCGUGGGGGAAGAAGGACUGUGGUUCGUAAAAUCCUUUUCCCGGGGACAACAAAAGACGGUACCUGGGGAAUAAGCAUCGGCUAACUCCGUGCCAGCAGCCGCGGUAACACGGGGGAUGCGAGCGUUAUCCGGAAUUAUUGGGCGUAAAGCGCCUGCAGGUGGCCCCCCAAGUCUUAUGUCAAAGGCCGGGGCUUAACCUCUUAAAGGCGUGAGAAACUGUUGGGCUAGAGGGAGGCUGGGGUAGAGGGGAACUCCUACUGUAGCGGUAAAAUGCGCACAUAUUAAGAAGAACACCGGCGGCGAAGGCGCUCUACUGGGCCAUCUCUGACACUCAGAGGCGAAAGCUGAUGGAGCGAGAGGGAUUAGGUACCCCUGUAGUCUCAGCCGUAAACGAUGGACAUUGGAUCUUUGUCUCCUAACCCGGGGCUACUCUGCCACGUUUGCUGCCAGGGGGCAUUCAAAACGGUGCACUUGUGGAGCCGGGAAUGGCUGAUGAGUUCGAAGCUAACGCGUUAAAUGUCCCGACCUGGGGGAGUACGCUCGCAAGGGUGAAACUCAAAGGAAUUGUCGGCGGCCCGCACAAGCGGUGGAGCAUGUGGUUUAAUUCGAUUCGACGCGAAGAACCUUACCAGGGCUUGACAUAUGGCAAUCGAGGAUGUCAAUGUGGUUCCUUUGAGAAGACGUCCAUACAGGUGGUGCAUGGCUGUCGUCAGCUCGUGUCGUGAGAUGUUGGGUUGAGUCCCGCAACGAGCGCAACCCUCGACUUUAGUUGCUUCGGUGGUAGAGCGUCCCGACGAGCACAUGAUUGCUCGCCGCCCAAACAGGGACCGAUAAAUAAGGUGAUUGCCAACGACAAGUUGGAGGAAGGUGAGGAUGACGUCAAGUCAUCAUUCCCCCAAUGCCCUUGGCCACACACUUGGUACAAUGGCCGAGACAAAAGGAGGCAGCCGAGAGGCCAGCUAGAUCCACAAACCCGGCCCCAGUUCGGAUCGUGGGCUGCAACUCGCCCACUUGAAGUAGGAAUCAUUAGUAAUCGCUGGUCAGCUACACAGCGGUGAAUGCGUUCUCGGGCCUUGUACACACCGCCCGUCACACAAGGAAGUUGGUCGCACCCGAAGGCGGGGUCCCGAAAUGUCUUCUUGAUUCGGAGAAUGAGUCGGGGUGCCUCGACGAAGGCGAGAAGAGCAACCAGGGUGAAGUCGUAACAAGGUAACC